Molecule: long non-coding RNA, 704 nt
Organism: Perca flavescens (yellow perch)
Lineage: Eukaryota; Metazoa; Chordata; Actinopteri; Perciformes; Percidae
Exons: 3
Source: RefSeq, a predicted model, not a curated record
UAACGAGGUGGUCGGGGCCAGCAGCUCUUUUGUUGUUGUUUUUGGGCACUCUUCCAACCCUGUUAUUAGCCUGUGUUCGAGGGUAAUAAAGCCCGGUCCAUCCGGUUAAACUUCGGCCACUGUCUCCUCGUCAUUCAGCUACCUAGCCAGCCGUGCGGCAGAGCCGUAACGCUACAGUAUAUUUAAGAAGCACACACGGAGGCUAACCUAGCUUACCUUGACAAGGUCAAGGAGAACGCAAAGCCCCCUUUCCCCGAAACAGUAGCUAACCCCGGUACAGGGAAUGGAUGUAUGGGGCCAGUACCAGGCAGCAUGACGGAGACAACCGCAGGACAGAGAACACUACAGGCGUGCUUUCACUGGCGACCCGAUAGCUGCUGGUUUCUCAGACCCAACUGGCGCAGACCGGAGUUUCCAUCACGUCUGUAGUUGAGGAAGAUUGCGAGGGAGUAGCGGUCCUCAUACAGCUUUGUUCCUCGGAUGAUCCUCAGGUUCUCCAAAGGCAGUUCUUCACUCUUAGAAGCUAUGAGUCAAUCCAGCAGUGCACAAUCUCUGGUAAACUGUUGUCUGUUGACUGCCAAUAUUAUUUUUAUUGGUCAACAUUCUGUUGCUGCAAGACACUACUACUUGCAUACAGAGCCACGAACGGAUCAGCCCCAGCAUACAUCCAGGACAUGGUCAAACCCUAUACCCCAACCCGCCCA